CCCUUAGAUGUUCUGGGCCGCACGCGCGCUACACUGAUGCAUUCAACGAGCCUAUCCUUGACCGACAGGUCCGGGUAAUCUUUGAAUCUGCAUCGUGACGGGGAUAGAUUAUUGCAAUUAUUAAUCUUCAACGAGGAAUGCCUAGUAGGCGCAAGUCAUCAGCUUGCGUCGAUUACGUCCCUGCCCUUUGUACACACCGCCCGUCGCUCCUACCGAUUGGGUGUGCUGGUGAAAUGUUCGGAUCGGCCGUUUGUCGCGGUUUCGGCGUCAUGUGGCUGAGAAGUUCAUUAAACCCUCCCACCUAGAGGAAGGAGAAGUCGUAACA
Molecule: ribosomal RNA, 325 nt
Filed under: uncultured eukaryote
Lineage: Eukaryota
Description: partial 18S ribosomal RNA
Rfam family: Eukaryotic small subunit ribosomal RNA
Source: RNAcentral